This 934-nucleotide non-coding RNA is filed under the name Occidozyga sp. NNU202103320. RNAcentral's name for it is "12S ribosomal RNA". It matches the Rfam family "Bacterial small subunit ribosomal RNA". Lineage: Eukaryota; Metazoa; Chordata; Amphibia; Anura; Dicroglossidae. RNAcentral also lists the same sequence under 1 other name. The record is from RNAcentral.
AAAAGGCACGGUCCUGGCCUUACUAUCGGCUAUUUCUUAACCUACACAUGCAAGUCUCAGCACUCCCGUGAGGACGCCCUUAUCACCUAAAAAGGCUUAGGAGCCGGUAUCAGGCACAGCAUACUUGCCCAUGACACCUAGUCUCACCACACCCCCAAGGGUAUUCAGCAGUGACAAAUAUUGAUAAAUGAGCGACAGCUUGAUUCAGUUAUAGAAAAGUAGGGUCGGCCAACGCUGGUGCCAGCCGCCGCGGAUACACCAGAACGGACCCAAGUUGAUAGCCACUCGGCGUCAAGCGUGGUUAAAGUAGAUAAAAACCAAUAGAGAAAAACUGGUAUGUAGCUGUGAUAAGCUGCCACAAAGGAAGCCCAUUAACGAAAGUAGCUCUAUAAUAUACUUGAACACACGACAGCUAGGAAACAAACUGAGAUUAGGUACCCCACUAUGCCUAGCCGUAAAAUAACUUACACCAACACGCCAGGGGAUUACGAGCCAAGCUUAAAACCCAAAGGACUUGACGGUGUCCUACCCCACUAGAGGAGCCUGUCCUAGAAUCGAUAAUCCCCGCUUAACCUUACCAUUUCUGGCUUGAUUCAGUUAGUAUACUUCCGUCGUCAGCUCACCAUAUGAAUGUACGCAGUGGGCACAAGGAUUUUCCACCAAUACGUCAGGUCAAGGUGCAGCUCAAGAAAUGGUUGAGAUGGGCUACAAUCUCUAAAUUAGAACACACGAAAUACUGAAUGAAAAAACAGUCACGAAGGUGGAUCUAGUAGUAAAAAGAAAAUAGCGAGUUCUUUUUAACAGAGGCACUUGGGCACGUACAAACCGCCCGUCACCCUCCUCGAUAAAAUCUUUUUAGUCCAUAACAAUACUUUUUCCUAAGAGGAGGCAAGUCGUAACAAGGUAAGUGUACUGGAAAGUGCACUUGGUUUAG